GAGGCUGUAGCUCAGCGGGAGAGCGCAUCAAUCGCACUGAUGAGGUCAGGGGCUUCGUCGUGAGCGCUCAGCCGAACGGUUCAAGUCCCCUCAGCUCCC
RNAcentral lists this transfer RNA (99 nucleotides) under Anaerolineae bacterium. RNAcentral's name for it is "tRNA-Ala". It matches the Rfam family "tRNA". Rfam says of the family: Transfer RNA (tRNA) molecules are approximately 80 nucleotides in length. Their secondary structure includes four short double-helical elements and three loops (D, anti-codon, and T loops). The record is from RNAcentral. Lineage: Bacteria; Bacillati; Chloroflexota; Anaerolineae.